This 680-nucleotide ribosomal RNA is filed under the name uncultured fungus. RNAcentral describes it as "eukaryotic LSU rRNA". The stretch from base 226 to 379 matches the Rfam family "5.8S ribosomal RNA". Lineage: Eukaryota; Fungi. The record is from RNAcentral.
CUUGGUCAUUUAGAGGAAGUAAAAGUCGUAACAAGGUUUCCGUAGGUGAACCUGCGGAAGGAUCAUUCACAAUGAGUGUUUUAUGGCACUCUUUAAAAAUCCAUAUCCACCUUGUGUGCAAUGUUUGUUGGGAGAGAGGCAACUCUUUCCCUUCACAAAUAUCAACCUAUAUCUUUAACAACAUUCGUCUGAUAACAUAUUAUGAGUAUACUUAAUUCAAAAUAUAACUUUCAACAACGGAUCUCUUGGCUCUCGCAUCGAUGAAGAACGCAGCGAAAUGCGAUACGUAAUGUGAAUUGCAGAAUUCAGUGAAUCAUCGAAUCUUUGAACGCAUAUUGCGCUCUUUGGUAUUCCGAAGAGCAUGCUUGUUUGAGUAUCAGUAAACACCUCAGCCUCCUCUUGAUUUUUCAAAAGGAGGGUGGACUUGAGCUAUCCCAACAACCUUCACCGGUAGGCGGGCGGCUUGAAAUGCAGGUGCAGCUGGACUUUUAUCUGAGCUAAAAGCAUAUCUAUUUAGUCCUCGUCAAACAGGAUUAUUACUAUUGCUGCAGCUAACAUAAAGGAUAAUUGUCCUCAUUGCUGACUGAUGCAGGAUUUUACGACACUUUAUGUGUUGUUCAACUCGAUCUCAAAUCAAGUAAGACUACCCGCUGAACUUAAGCAUAUCAAUAAGCGGAGGA